GCCUUCGUGGUGUAACGGUUAACGCACUCGACGCGUAUUUCGAGAAAUCCGGGUUCGAGUCCCGGCGAGAGCA
RNAcentral lists this transfer RNA (73 nucleotides) under Stegodyphus mimosarum. It matches the Rfam family "tRNA". From Rfam's summary of the family: Transfer RNA (tRNA) molecules are approximately 80 nucleotides in length. Their secondary structure includes four short double-helical elements and three loops (D, anti-codon, and T loops). Further hydrogen bonds mediate the characteristic L-shaped molecular structure. tRNAs have two regions of fundamental functional importance: the anti-codon, which is responsible for specific mRNA codon recognition, and the 3' end, to which the tRNAs corresponding amino acid is attached (by aminoacyl-tRNA synthetases). tRNAs cope with the degeneracy of the genetic code in two manners: having more than one tRNA (with a specific anti-codon) for a particular amino acid; and 'wobble' base-pairing, i.e. permitting non-standard base-pairing at the 3rd anti-codon position. Lineage: Eukaryota; Metazoa; Arthropoda; Arachnida; Araneae; Eresidae. The record is from Rfam by way of RNAcentral.